RNAcentral lists this long non-coding RNA (2964 nucleotides) under Oncorhynchus mykiss (rainbow trout). RNAcentral's name for it is "lncRNA (ENSOMYG00000055282.1)". Lineage: Eukaryota; Metazoa; Chordata; Actinopteri; Salmoniformes; Salmonidae. The record is from RNAcentral.
GAGUCCAUGGCCAGGACCGGGAGGGAGGGGUUUGGGGGGAUCAUUGGGACGGAACUCACCGCACUGCGCUGCCCCAACUUCUGCAACGGGAACAGCCAGUGCACUGAGUGGGGUUGUCAAUGCUAUCCUGGCCACAGCUUCUACGACUGCAGUCUGGCUAUCAGUCAGCCCGUGGAGUUGACAGACCUGGAGAACAGUGGUCUGUCUGUGUGACAUCAGAGCGUUCGACUGUCGCAGCGUCCGGGGUCUUCGGCCUCGGCUUCAUCGACUCUCCCCAACCCGGGCUGUCACCUCACACGACUGAUGGUGAGAGAAAUAACUCAGACAUAUGGUCAUGGGCGUACAAGGACAUACCCCAAAGUGUUGCCGUAUUAAUGAACAGAGUGGGGAACACAGAAAAAACAGACGAGAUCCUGAUAUCUCUCUGAGUAUUUUUUUUAAUUGAAAGAGUUCAGCAAAACUAUGAUGCUCUAGAUUCUCUUUUCCGAUCAUCGGAGGAGGACUCAUUGCAGUAGGCCUUGUGAUUAUCCCUCAAACAGACCGGUAAACUGCUAGUUCACAACAGGACUCCAAUAUUCCAAAGUAUAUUUUUUCCUGUGCAGUAUACAAUUUUUUUAUACAAUGCAUUUCAAUCCCAGAUGAAGACAGUAGGUUACUUAAGACAGAAACAAUAGGAGGGAGGUUGGUCAGGGAGGAGGGUUUGGCAUACAACGUGAAUGGCUCGCAACCCAACGGUUGUGUGUUCAAAUCUGAUCGCGGAUAACUUUAGCAUUUAGCACUUUAGCAUUUUUGCAACUGCUUACUACUUUUCAGCUACUUUGCAACUACAUAGUAUGUUAGCUAACACUUCCCCUAAACAUAACCCUUUAUCCUUACUCAUAAACCUAACCUGUUAACUACCUAACCUGUUAACUAACCUUAACCCCUAACCCUUAACCCCUAGCCUAGCUAACAUUAGCCACCUAGCUAGACUACCUAACAUUAGCCACAACGAACAAUUAUUUGUGUAAUGUACACAAAUGCGUUAUGAUGAAUGAAAAUUGUGUAAUACACACAAAAUGCGGUGUGAUGAAAAUUGUGUAAUGCACUUGCCUGUCACAAUUUUUGAAUAAGUCAUUGUGUCUAUCUAUCUAUCUAUCUAUCUAUCUAUCUAUCUAUCUAUCUAUCUAUCUAUCUAUCUAUCUAUCUAUCUAUCUAUCUAUCUAUCUCCUCUAGAACCUGAAUGGUGAGCGGAGGACCAGAGCUACCUUCCUGAGCUCCAAGGUUCUAGACUGUUCCGUCCCCUCACUGAAUGACAAACCCUACACUCGCUGGGAAGUCAAGGUAAAGUUGUGUACAGUAUUUCCCAUCUGGUAAAGUUAUAUAAAUAAAGUUAACUUAUUCGUUUUACUAAAGCACAUGGAAAGUCACCUCAUCUCCUUGCAAGAACCUGUGAUUAUGGCUCACUUUUUCAAAGACAACUUGAAGUCUUUCCGCUUUGCCCUGUUCCUGACCUUCUCCUUGCCUCGUAUACAGCCUAUAUAUCAUGUUCCAGCAUGUCCCUGAGUGGUUUGGGAUCGCUGUUUGUUUACUGCUGUAUUAGAAGACAUUAGCAUAAAUCUCAAUGUAGGAGACAGAGCCGUGGGGCUUCUCUCCACACCCCCAAGGUUAGCCCAAAGUCAGAUCUUUCUGGAUUAGGUGAGCCUGGGUAAGUGGGCUUAGAAGAUGAGCCCGAUAUUACCUACCUUAGUCCAGGCUCUGCCAUUAAUCUACAAGGUUUAGGGGAGUUUGAGUCACCCGUCCCUUAGAAAUGUGAGGUAUAUUUGUAUUGGAUGCUGUGAAAAUGUCCAAGUGUACAUAAGCGUGAGUUUCAAAUUGUUAUAACUUUUUUUACAGCAUGUGAGCUUCAAACUUCUGAAAUCAUAUUACAUGAUUUACUUAGCUAAACCACCAAACCAUUUGACCAUCCAAACCAAGCUCAAGACAAGGAAGCCCUCCUGUAUGAUAUGAAUGUCUUGAACUGGUUAGCACUAGAGAGUGUUGAGUAUUGGUUGGCUACAGUGUUGUUCCUUCUUGUCUCAGGUGACCAAUGACGGCUCUCAGUACAGUGAGCCUAAGGUGCUAACAAUCUACGAUGGCGUGUGCCGAGUGUGUGAACCAACCCACUCCGGACUCUGUAAGUUAAACGUAACUACCAGACACCACACAAACACACGCACACAUGCACGCACACAUUCAUAUUUCCCCUAAAAGACGCAGCGUAUCUCCUCAAAAACCAUGCAAGUUUAGGAAAACUCUUCACCACCGAGAAAGACAUAAGAUACUCGUAUGAAGAGAAGUGAAAAGCAGGCCGUCUCGUAAUGUCUGCAGGGUAGUUGCUGCUGAACAUGUUGUCCACACAACAUCACUUUCAGAGCUCCCUACGUCCAUGGAUGUUUGUUCUAAACCACAGAUGUUAUGAAGGUCCUCCCCACACACACACACACACACACACAAACUCCACACUGAUACAACAAACUGCAAGCAGCUAUGGUAAUCGUGAUCGGCAUGUAAGGUUUGAAAAAGGAUCAACAUCUUGACAAUCGGAGAAUAUCAAUUGCAUAUCCUUGAUUCCUUGCGUCCUCUCUCCUCCUUUUCAAAAACCAUUCGAUGAGCAGGUCAGAUGUCCCUCCCCUCUGACCUUCUCAUCCAAUGGGUUUUGAGAAGGAGGUGAGGAGAAAGGACACGAAGGAUCAAAGAAAUGCAAUUCAGAUUCUCCGCAAGACCAAAGUGGGAAGGUGACCGUCUUGAGGAAUGAGAGAAGGAAACGAUAGAUAGCGGUGUUCUUGCCACGGUCAUUCAUUUUCACUUGGAGAGGGGCUGACACACUGGUAUAGAGAGGGGAGACAAUCUCUAAAUUUUUUCUCUCCUUCUCUCUCUCUCUCUCUCUCUCUCCUUUUUCAAUUCAAUUCAGAGGCUUUAUUGGCAUGGGAAACGUAUGUUAAC